AUAAACGCUGGCGGCGUGCUUAACACAUGCAAGUCGAACGGAGUGGUCCUCCCGAAGACCUGAUUGAGCUUGCUCUUGAUGGAAUUCAUUUGGAUCACUUAGUGGCGGACGGGUGAGUAACGCGUGGGUAACCUGCCCUAUACUGGGGGAUAGCAGUUGGAAACGACCGAUAAUACCGCAUAAGCGCACAGCAUCGCAUGGUGCAGUGUGAAAAACUCCGGUGGUAUAGGAUGGACCCGCGUCUGAUUAGCUAGUUGGUGAGGUAACGGCCCACCAAGGCGACGAUCAGUAGCCGGCCUGAGAGGGUGUACGGCCACAUUGGGACUGAGACACGGCCCAAACUCCUACGGGAGGCAGCAGUGGGGAAUAUUGGACAAUGGGGGAAACCCUGAUCCAGCGAACCGCCGCGUGAGUGAAGAAGUAUCUCGGUAUGUAAAGCUCUAUCAGCAGGGAAGAUAAUGACGGUACCUGACUAAGAAGCACCGGCUAAAUACGUGCCAGCCGCCGC
This 508-nucleotide ribosomal RNA is filed under the name uncultured bacterium. Its description in RNAcentral is "bacterial SSU rRNA". It matches the Rfam family "Bacterial small subunit ribosomal RNA", at positions 29 to 518 of the family's 1533-position model. The record is from RNAcentral.